GCCGGGUGCAGAGGCCCAUGCCUUUGGUCCCAGCUACUCAAGAGGCUGAGGCUGGAUAAUUGCUUGAGCCCAAGGAUUCUAGGUGGCAGUGUGCUAUGCUAAUUAAGUGUCUGCACUUGAGUUUCGCAUCAAUAUGGUGACCUCCCAGGAGUUGAGUGCUGCCAGGUUGCCUAAAGACGGAUGAACCCCCCGGAAACUGAGCACAUUAAAACUCCUGCGCUGAUCAGCAGUGGGACGAUGCCUGUGAAUAGCCACUGCAUUCCCACUUGGACAACGUAGUGAGAUUCCAUCUCU
This 294-nucleotide signal recognition particle RNA is filed under the name Cebus imitator (Panamanian white-faced capuchin). RNAcentral's name for it is "Metazoan signal recognition particle RNA (ENSCCAG00000000748.1)". It matches the Rfam family "Metazoan signal recognition particle RNA". Rfam says of the family: The signal recognition particle (SRP) is a universally conserved ribonucleoprotein. It is involved in the co-translational targeting of proteins to membranes. The record is from RNAcentral. Lineage: Eukaryota; Metazoa; Chordata; Mammalia; Primates; Cebidae.